ACUGGGGGACUUGAGUACUGGAGAGGCAAGGGGAAUUCCACGUGUAGCGGUGAAAUGCGUAGAGAUGUGGAGGAAUACCAGUGGCGAAGGCGCCUUGCUGGACAGUGACUGACGCUGAGGCACGAAAGCGUGGGGAGCAAACAGGAUUAGAUACCCUGGUAGUCCACGCCGUAAACGAUGAGUGCUAGGUGUUGGGGGUUCAUCCCCUCAGUGCCGAAGGAAACCCAAUAAGCACUCCGCCUGGGGAGUACGGUCGCAAGACUGAAACUCAAAGGAAUUGACG
Molecule: ribosomal RNA, 283 nt
Filed under: uncultured Alicyclobacillus sp.
Lineage: Bacteria; Bacillati; Bacillota; Bacilli; Caryophanales; Alicyclobacillaceae
Description: partial 16S ribosomal RNA
Rfam family: Bacterial small subunit ribosomal RNA
Source: RNAcentral